AAAGGGGAGAUAAUAAGGCAAGAUGGCGAAUAAUAAUCCUAACAAUGGAGCUGUUAAUCCCCCUCCAUUGAUGCGACCCCCUUUUAUGCCCCCAACAGGACCAGGUGGUGCUCCACCCCCCGGUUUUAUCCCUCCAAAUAUGGGCGGACCUCCAGGUGACCCGUCUAUGAUGCCUCCAGGGUUUCCUCCUAUUCCCAACCUGCCACCACAAGGUUUCCCUGGAAUGCCACCUAUGAUGCCACCUAUGGGAAUGUUUAAACCAGGUUUAGAUUCAGAUAAG
Long non-coding RNA from Patella vulgata (common limpet), 280 nucleotides. RefSeq lists it as uncharacterized. Lineage: Eukaryota; Metazoa; Mollusca; Gastropoda; Patellidae. The record is from RefSeq and is a predicted model, not a curated record. The transcript has 5 exons.